RNAcentral lists this unclassified non-coding RNA (240 nucleotides) under soil metagenome. RNAcentral describes it as "partial contains 5.8S ribosomal RNA, internal transcribed spacer 2, and large subunit ribosomal RNA". The record is from RNAcentral.
AAGACUAUAGACCUGCGGAGUACCUGCGGAAGGAUCAUUACUGAGUACCGGGUCUCUCAGGCCCUUACUCCCACCCUUUGUUUACCUUACCAUAUUUCAGUUGCUUUGGUGGGGCUUUUUUGUUCACAAAAAAACUCACCAUUGGAACUUUUUUAAAACUCUUGAUAAUUGAGUUGUCUGAGAACAAAAACAAAUAAAUUAAAACUUUCAGCAACGGAUCUCUAGAUCGGAAGAGCACAC